This 1983-nucleotide long non-coding RNA is filed under the name Zea mays. Its description in RNAcentral is "long non-coding RNA (ZMAY_LNC000447)". The record is from RNAcentral. Lineage: Eukaryota; Viridiplantae; Streptophyta; Magnoliopsida; Poales; Poaceae.
AAGAAGCAUAAUAAGGGGGGAAACAACAUGGAGUUCAUACAUGAUAUAAAAGACAGAUAAUUCACGUAGUAGAAUCUAAAUGCAAAAGUAGUAAAACACAUUCAUGACCAAAUAAAAGAAUAGGUAACUCAGCCCACCCCAAAAACAGCUCAACCACCAUGAAAAGUUAGAACAUAAUAAUUCCCUAGACUCGACCCCUCCCUGAUUAACAACAUUAUUAAGCAGUGGUUCCUUUAUUAAAGGUGUAGUGGCCGUGCUGCUACAUCCCUCUUUUCCCAAAGCAGAAAUCAGGUGCCUGCAUCAAACAAUGCAAGAGUGAGAUGACAUAUCUCAGCAAGUAAACAGAGCAAACAACAAUUGGACAAUGUAAACCAACUGUGCUUAAACAACCAUGUAGUUCAAAACUUCCUUCUUGAAUAUUAAUUUGCAGCAAGUAAGCAAGUAACUAAUUACUUAAUGCCAAGAUGAAUCACAAUGUAAAGAUCCACACUAUCCACAUCCACAUAGUAGAUUCCACACCUCUCCCAUGAAUGCACAUGGCUACAGAUGCAGUAAUGACUUCUGCCUUCAUAUCUCUAAGGAUAUGAAGCUGCAUCAUACCCCUUCUCGGGCAACAUAUGAUGCUCAAUGUACCGGUACGGUCGGACCAUAAGAUCACGACGAACUUCCAUGCAAUGAAUAAUGAAUGCAUUAUGCAUGACAACAACAUGAGUUCUUCCCAAAUAAAAAUGUGCUAGACAUAUACUUCCACCCAUUCCACAUAAUAAACCACUUGAGUAAUAUGAUCAAACCACAAACUCAAGAUAUGUAAUCAAUAAAACAUGAAUAUCUUCAAACAAUGGUACUCAAUUAAAAAAUGAAUACGAACACAACAGCACCACAUAAUCAAGUAUAAGACUCUUCAUUCGGCAGACGGAAUAACCAUAACUGUUUUACUUGCCUUCACCGGAAAUUUGGGCAAAUCCCUAAGUACGAUCCAGAAGUCCACCACCUGUUUUUGACACACAACUUAGUGCACCAAUUUCACAUAAUAAGCCUCAAAAACAACGCCGCACCUACGCGCAAUCUUAAACCCCGUCGCGGGUAACAAUUCUCCCCAUACCCACCAAACUGCAGCGGCGCUGCUUAACAAUUCCAUAACUUUAAAAUUAAGACAGCAGUGGUGACAAACAAAAACUCCAGAGACAUCUACAUAAAAUUCCACACAAGUUUUGUAUACAAUUUUUGAUUAAAUUCCAACAUCUAAUUACCCCAAAACGUACCACAAGAUAAACCCUACAAUCUGUUUUUUUCUCCUUUGGGCAGCGACAUACCCGGAUUCAAACAGCGAUAACUUUUAAAAUAUAAUUCCAAAUCGAGCGCAUAAGUACUUGUUGGAAAGGUAAGACAAAUACCUACAUGAUUAUCAUACUGAUUAACACUAAUUACUCACGAAAAAUCCCCAGAAACUGCUAAUACUGCUGCUGUUCGUCCACCUGAAAAUCUGUUUUUUUGGACAGCCACAUACCCGGAUUCAAACGGCGAUAUCUUUUAAUUUAUAACUCCGAAUUGAGCGCAUAAAUACUCGUUGAAAAGGUAUGAAAAAGUUCUACAUGAUUCUCAAACUGAUUCCCAUUAAUUUCCCACGAAAAAUGCCCAGAAACUGCUAGAACGUUUGCUGUUCGUCCACCCCCUAAAAUUCUGGACAGCCCCUCUACCAAAUCGCAUACGCAACAUCUAAUCAAUUGGAUUGCAGCACAAAUGAACAAGAAAUAAACACAAAAAAAUCACCUUAGAUUCUUCCCUUUCUCCUUCCUUCUUCCUCCCUCCAAACUCCAAUUGAGCUCGCCACACGACGGAGAACCACGCGGAAGGACUUCACCUUGGAGAGAGGGGGGGGGGGCGGCUAGGGUUUUGGGUGGUGUGGCUGCAAUGGUUUGAGGGAGGAGGAAAUGGGAGGAGGGGGGCGGCGGCCAAGGGUGUGGGGGAAAUGGGGAAGGGCUG